ACGCUCGACACCUACGGGAGUCAGCAGUGGGGGAUAUUGCACAAUGGGGGAAACCCUGAUGCAGCAACGCCGCGUGAGGGAAGAAGGUCUUCGGAUUGUAAACCUUUGUUCUUGGUGACGAAGAAGUGACGGUAGCCAAGGAGGAAGCUCCGGCUAACUACGUGUCAGCAGCCGCGGUAAUCUGAGCGGGCUGGCAAGGC
This 200-nucleotide ribosomal RNA is filed under the name uncultured bacterium. RNAcentral describes it as "partial 16S ribosomal RNA". It matches the Rfam family "Bacterial small subunit ribosomal RNA", at positions 328 to 539 of the family's 1533-position model. The record is from RNAcentral.